GGCCUUGGGAAGAGGAUGUGAGGCUGAGGAAGGUUAGAGCUGAGUAGGAAGUCAAAUGGCAGGACACAUGGAGAACAGAGGAGACUAAAUCUUUCAGAUGUGAAAUCCCAGAGAAAAGGCAACAUUUAUCCACAUCCAAAUCACCCCACCCCUGCUUCUUCAGCUAACCUUCAGGAAUGGUUUGGGAUCAUUGGUGUUUUCUUACACGAUUUCUACUUGAUGACUACCCAUCAAGGUAGUAGCAUUGGCCCACUACCUACAAGUGUUCAGGAUGAGACAUUCAGGAAGAAUUUGAGUGGAGCAAAGUCCUAGAGAAGUAUAGACUCCUAGCCAAGGAUUGGAGAACUUGAUUAGCUAGUUUUGAAAGUUCUGUGGAAAUAUAAGAGACUCCAAGAAGAUAAAAGAAUCUUAAAGUAAAGAAAAAUGUUGAAGACUCAUUUCCUGACUUAAAAUUUUACCAUAAGGCUCCAAGAUAUUCAGUCUUGCCAUCUUCUCUCCUACAAACUCAACUGAUGAUCAUCCAACUUCACAGAGAAGUGAGAAGCCAAAAUAGAAGUCAACUAGCUUUACUAAUUCUCUGUCAUUCAAUUAUCAACCUCGAAUUAUAACCACCUCACUUUCUUUGUUUCUGUGAUGCUAAA
This is a long non-coding RNA of Mastomys coucha (southern multimammate mouse), 641 nucleotides long. RefSeq lists it as uncharacterized. The transcript is spliced from 5 exons. Lineage: Eukaryota; Metazoa; Chordata; Mammalia; Rodentia; Muridae. The record is from RefSeq and is a predicted model, not a curated record.